CCUACGGGUGGCUGCAGUGGGGAAUAUUGCACAAUGGGGGAAACCCUGAUGCAGCGACGCCGCGUGAGUGAUGAAGUAUUUCGUUACGUAAAGCUCUAUCAGCAGGGAAGAAAAUGACGGUAUCUGAGUAAUAAGCACCGGCUAACUACGUGCCAGCAGCCGCGGUAAUACGUAGGGGGCAAGCGUUAUCCGGAUUUACUGGGUGUAAAGGGAGCGUAGACGGUGUGGCAAGUCAGGUGUGAAAUGCUGCGGCUUAACUGCGGAACUGCUUUGGAAACUGGCGUACUAGAGUGUGGGAGGGGUAAGUGGAAUUCCUGGUGUAGCGGUGAAAUGCGUAGAGAUCAGGAGGAACACUCAUGGCGAAGGCGGCUUACUGGACCGUAACUGACGUUGAGGCUCGAAAGCGUGGGGAGCAAACAGGAUUAGAUACCCGAGUAGUC
Molecule: ribosomal RNA, 440 nt
Filed under: uncultured bacterium
Lineage: Bacteria
Description: partial 16S ribosomal RNA
Rfam family: Bacterial small subunit ribosomal RNA
Source: RNAcentral